This 72-nucleotide transfer RNA is filed under the name Candidatus Velamenicoccus archaeovorus. Its description in RNAcentral is "Velamenicoccus archaeovorus tRNA". It matches the Rfam family "tRNA". Rfam says of the family: Transfer RNA (tRNA) molecules are approximately 80 nucleotides in length. Their secondary structure includes four short double-helical elements and three loops (D, anti-codon, and T loops). Further hydrogen bonds mediate the characteristic L-shaped molecular structure. tRNAs have two regions of fundamental functional importance: the anti-codon, which is responsible for specific mRNA codon recognition, and the 3' end, to which the tRNAs corresponding amino acid is attached (by aminoacyl-tRNA synthetases). tRNAs cope with the degeneracy of the genetic code in two manners: having more than one tRNA (with a specific anti-codon) for a particular amino acid; and 'wobble' base-pairing, i.e. permitting non-standard base-pairing at the 3rd anti-codon position. RNAcentral also lists the same sequence under 1 other name. The record is from Rfam by way of RNAcentral. Lineage: Bacteria; Pseudomonadati; Candidatus Omnitrophota.
UGCCCGGUGGUGCAACUGGUAGCACAUCAGACUUUGGAUCUGAGUAUCCUGGUUCGAGCCCAGGCUGGGCAG